CUGGUUGAUCCUGCCAGUUGCCAUAUGCUUGUCUCAAAGAUUAAGCCAUGCAUGUCUAAGUAUAAGCAAUUUAUACAGUGAAACUGCGAAUGGCUCAUUAAAUCAGUUAUCGUUUAUUUGAUAGUGCCUUUACUACUCGGAUAUCCGUGGUAAUUCUAGAGCUAAUACGUGCUAACAAUCUCGACUGUUUGGAAGGGAUGUAUUUAUUAGAUAAAAAAUCAAUGCUUUCGAGCUUCUUGAUGAUUCAUAAUAACUUUUCGAAUCGCAUGGCCUUGUGCUGGCGAUGGUUCAUUCAAAUUUCUGCCCUAUCAACUUUCGAUGGUAGGAUAGUGGCCUACCAUGGUUGCAACGGGUAACGGGGAAUUAGGGUUCGAUUCCGGAGAGGGAGCCUGAGAAACGGCUACCACAUCUAAGGAAGGCAGCAGGCGCGCAAAUUACCCAAUCCCGACACGGGGAGGUAGUGACAAUAAAUAACGAUACAGGGCCCUUUCGGGUCUUGUAAUUGGAAUGAGUACAAUUUAAAUACCUUAACGAGGAACAAUUGGAGGGCAAGUCUGGU
Molecule: ribosomal RNA, 559 nt
Filed under: uncultured fungus
Lineage: Eukaryota; Fungi
Description: SSU rRNA
Rfam family: Eukaryotic small subunit ribosomal RNA
Source: RNAcentral